This 266-nucleotide ribosomal RNA is filed under the name uncultured Enterobacteriaceae bacterium. RNAcentral describes it as "partial 16S ribosomal RNA". It matches the Rfam family "Bacterial small subunit ribosomal RNA", at positions 76 to 339 of the family's 1533-position model. Lineage: Bacteria; Pseudomonadati; Pseudomonadota; Gammaproteobacteria; Enterobacterales; Enterobacteriaceae. The record is from RNAcentral.
CAGCUUGCUGGCUUCGCUGACGAGUGGCGGACGGGUGAGUAAUGUCUGGGAAACUGCCUGAUGGGAGGGGGAUAACCACUGGAAACGGUGGCUAAUACCGCAUAACGUCGCAAGGACCAAAGAGGGGGACCUUCGGGCCUCUCACUAUCGGAUGAACCCAGAUGGGAUUAGCUAGUAGGUGGGGUAACGGCUCACCUAGGCGACGAUCCCUAGCUGGUCUGAGAGGAUGACCAGCCACACUGGAACUGUGACACGGUCCAGACUCC